Molecule: non-coding RNA, 133 nt
Organism: Gossypium raimondii (Peruvian cotton)
Lineage: Eukaryota; Viridiplantae; Streptophyta; Magnoliopsida; Malvales; Malvaceae
Source: Rfam
UGUUAAAAAAAUCAUUUAUUUCUAUUGUUAAAAACUAAUAUGAUUGACGGAAUAACCAAAUAAUUACACAUGUAUUUCAUCUUAGGGUUCAAAGACCAAUUUUUAACAAUAGAAAUGAAUGAAAUUUUUAAUA